RNAcentral lists this ribosomal RNA (253 nucleotides) under uncultured bacterium. Its description in RNAcentral is "partial 16S ribosomal RNA". It matches the Rfam family "Bacterial small subunit ribosomal RNA", at positions 524 to 776 of the family's 1533-position model. The record is from RNAcentral.
UACGUAGGGCGCAAGCGUUAUCCGGAAUUACUGGGCGUAAAGAGCUCGUAGGUGGUUUGUCGCGUUGUUCGUGAAAACCGGGGGCUUAACCCUCGGCGUGCGGGCGAUACGGGCAGACUUGAGUACUGCAGGGGAGACUGGAAUUCCUGGUGUAGCGGUGGAAUGCGCAGAUAUCAGGAGGAACACCGGUGGCGAAGGCGGGUCUCUGGGCAGUAACUGACGCUGAGGAGCGAAAGCGUGGGGAGCGAACAGG